Molecule: long non-coding RNA, 1277 nt
Filed under: Salmo salar (Atlantic salmon)
Lineage: Eukaryota; Metazoa; Chordata; Actinopteri; Salmoniformes; Salmonidae
Description: lncRNA (ENSSSAG00000096124.1)
Source: RNAcentral
GGGAGGUAAAAGAGUGAGCUACCAGAACUUACACAGGAAGGAAAAAGAGGGGACAACCAGAACUUACACAGGAAGGGUAAUAAGGGGACUACCAGAACUUACACAGAAAGGGAAAGAGGGAACUACCAGAACUUACACAGGAAGGGAAACGAGGGAACAACCAGAACUUACACAGGAAGAGUAAUAAGGGGACUACCAAAACUUACACAGGAAAGGAAAAGAGGGGACAACCAGAACUUACACAGGAAGGGAAUAGAGAGGACUACCAGAACUUACACAGGAAGGGAAAAGAGGAAAUACCAGAACUUACACAGGAAGGGAAAAGAGGGGACUACCAGAACUUACACAGGAUGGGAAAGAGGGGACUACCAGAACUUACACAGGAAGCGAAAAGAGGGAACAACCAGAACUUACACAGGAAGGGAAAAGAGGAAAUACCACAACUUACACAGGAAGGGAAAAGAGGGGACAACCAGAACUUACACAGGAAGGGAAUAUUAGAGGACAACCAGAACUUACACAGGAAGGGAAUAUUAGAGGACUACCAGAACUUACACAGGAAGGGAAAGGAGGAAAUACCAGAACUUACACAGGAAGGGAAAAUAGGGGACAUCCAGAAUUUACACAGGAAGGUAAAUAAGGGGACAACCAGAACUGUCACAGGAAGGGGAAAAGAACAAGGCCUAUUUUAGAACAAAAUGACAUGGUCAAUAGAACAAUAGCAGUCAUCUAACCGGAUCACAAACAGCCUUUUGCAUUCUCAGUGUUUUAACAUUUAUAAACGUAAAAGGUCUUCCUUACGUAAUGACAUGAUUAAAAUGCACGGCGUCACCAAAGCUAUUUUAUCCUAUGAAGGUUAUCAGAAACAGAACAUCUGAAAAGGAAUGAAGAGCGAGCUACACAUGGCCUUGAUUAUCAAAGAGGGAGUGAUCUGUGAUCUAGCUUUAUUUCUAGUAAGAACCUUUAACGUCAACAUCUGAAUCGUACAACUCAAAUACAGCCAAGUAUAUAAACAACAUCUCUGUAUAGGUAGAUUGCCACCGUUCAAAAUUCAAACGAGUAAUUUUUUUUUAAUGAAGGUUCUUGAAAGUGAAAAUCACGCAGGCAACGUUGACCUUUCAAAGCAUAUGGCGUUCCUUUAAAUGUGAGGAACAGCCGGCGGAACAGACGAGUACGCUCCUCGACUCCUUCCGUCAAACGAGAAGAAAGAGAGGAGGAUGAAGUGAAGGGAAUGAAUAUUCAUGGCAGAGUGUUUGCUUGAUUUCCAUGGGGACACG